UAGCUCAGUGGUAGAGUGCUUGCCUUGCAUGCAUGAGACCCUGGGUUCAAUUCCUCAG
This 58-nucleotide transfer RNA is filed under the name Dipodomys ordii (Ord's kangaroo rat). It matches the Rfam family "tRNA", at positions 8 to 63 of the family's 71-position model. Rfam says of the family: Transfer RNA (tRNA) molecules are approximately 80 nucleotides in length. Their secondary structure includes four short double-helical elements and three loops (D, anti-codon, and T loops). Further hydrogen bonds mediate the characteristic L-shaped molecular structure. tRNAs have two regions of fundamental functional importance: the anti-codon, which is responsible for specific mRNA codon recognition, and the 3' end, to which the tRNAs corresponding amino acid is attached (by aminoacyl-tRNA synthetases). tRNAs cope with the degeneracy of the genetic code in two manners: having more than one tRNA (with a specific anti-codon) for a particular amino acid; and 'wobble' base-pairing, i.e. permitting non-standard base-pairing at the 3rd anti-codon position. Lineage: Eukaryota; Metazoa; Chordata; Mammalia; Rodentia; Heteromyidae. The record is from Rfam by way of RNAcentral.